Molecule: long non-coding RNA, 2092 nt
Filed under: Felis catus (domestic cat)
Lineage: Eukaryota; Metazoa; Chordata; Mammalia; Carnivora; Felidae
Description: lncRNA (ENSFCAG00000052042.1)
Source: RNAcentral
CCGCAAUCUGAAUGUACUUCACUAGCAAAAGCAAUAGUCUUUCUGGACCCUUCUCCCCAGUUCUGGUGCCUGCCUCUGCAAAGAGAAGUUAGAGUAAUUCCAGAUUUCCUGCCUGGCGCCUCCAGAAUGGCUCUGGUGAAGUGGAGUCCUGAUAAAGUGGCUGAUGAAGGAGGUCAAAGCAGCUCUCCCAGAGGCCACUGCUUGAGAAAAAUGAGAGAAGGAAGAGCUCUUGGGUUUAACCACUUAGAUGAACAUCACUUGCACUGGACAACAGCCAGAGUGGUAUUGAAACCUAAUGGGCAUUGACGGAGGGACAUUCCAGUGUAAACUACAGCUUAUCAGAGAUUACUGGAAAAUGUCGGAAAAUGAGGGAUACCCAUUUCCAGUUACAUUUCAGAUUUUCCUUGGAAAGGUGGAAGAAGAAUGAGAGAUGUCUACAAUGAUCCUGAUGACCCUAGCAAGAGCUAAAAACUAUAUUAGUAGGAAAAUACUCAUUUGUGUAAAAACCUACUCAAUCAGAAAAUUCAGUGAAAAAUGUAAUCCCCCCCCCCCCCCGCCUCCUCCCCGUGAGAAGAUACAGCAGUGAGCCAUACAAACAAUGUCUUUUGGUUUGGAGCAUUUUCAAGAUAUCAGAGUAGAGGGGAGUGGGAAGUACAUCUUGGUGUUUGUCUCUUGAUCUGGGAAUCAAGCUGCUUCUGAUCUCCACAGUUGGGAGCGAGCUCUGUAUCUUGUUUACCAUCUCAGUCCUCUGUGUUUGCCUGAGCGUGACAGUUAUCACACACUGAGUUAUAAUUACUGGUCACCAAUCGUGCUCUCCCAUUAAAUGAUAAUAUCCUUGUGGGUUCUUUCAUCACCAUUGUAUCUCCAGGAAUUAUCACGAUGCUUACUCUAUAGGAGAUCCAUGGUAAAUAUCUGUUGGACAGACAUCCUCUCACCCACAAGAUAAUGUGUUCUCUAUGAAAGGAACUGCUCAUAUUCAUUUUUUUCUUACUCAGGGUGCCUGUAAUAGAUAAUCUUCCAAGAUAGUCACCAUCAAUUCCUCCUUCCCUCUAUGCACAUGUCUCUGUUCCUAUCAAGAGAUGCACUUUAUUUCCUUCUUCCUGGAAUCUGGACUGGCCUGGUGACUUACCCUAUUUGUUGAUUUAUUUAGGUUAAACUUUUUCUUUUAAAUAAUAUUAGAUUUACAAAAACUGCCAAAUAUAGUACGUUGAGUUCCUACAUACUGUUCACUGUUAACUUUCUGCUAAAGCUAACAUUUUAUAUAACCAGUGUACAAUGUCUAAGGCAGAAAAUUAGCAUUGGUGUGAACUAUUAAUUAAUCUACAAAUGUUCAUAUUUUACCAGCUGUCUCACUUGGGCAGGCAGAAAUUCUAAAAGAGUCCCUAAGAUUUGUAGUCCCUGUUACACACACUCUCUCCCAGUUAUUCAUUCAAGCACUAAGUGCCCCUACGGAAAGGCUUUGCAGCUGUAAGGAAGGUCCAAAAUCAGUUAACCUUAAGAUAGAAAAAUUAUCAGUGGGCCUGACCUAAUCCCUAAGUCCUUUGAAUCUAGGUCUAAGAGGUCAAAGAUGUUAGGCCAAAGAUUUGAAACACAAAAAGAAUUGACAUGAGAGAACUUUCCAAAAGGGUGUACUUUCCAAAAGUGGAUCACUUUGACCAAUGAAAUGAGGUAAAGGUGAUACUGUGCCAAUUCUAGACCAAGCCUUGAAGGUGUUUAGCAUCUUCUUCUUUUGCUCUUGGAAAUCAACCCCCAUGAACGAAGUCUUACCACCAUUUCCCAAGGAAGCCCAGGGCCAUUAUCUUCAGAAAGAGAGGAGCCACUUGGAAGGGCACAAAGGUACCACACAUGGUGGUGAAACUUCCGUGGACCUCCCACUCACCUCUGCAACCACAUGAAUACAACUAAGAGACCCCAGCCAGUGCCACAUGGAGCAGAACUGACCAGCCGAAACUUAUCCCAAUUUCUGACCCACAUAAAUUGAUGUUGUUUCAAUCUACUGUUUUCAGGGGGUUUGUUGUAUAGCAAUAUAUAAGCAAAUGUCUAAUUCAGAGAAGGAUCUCAAUAAAUAUUUCAUAUUAUCAAAUAGUUUUCA